UGGCGGACGGGUGAGUAACGCGUAAGAAUCUACCCUUAGGAAAAGAAUAAUAACUGGAAACGGUUUCUAAUACUUUAUAAGCUGAGAAGUCAAAAGGAUUUAUUUCCGCCUAGGGAUGAGCUUGCGUCUGAUUAACUUGUUGGUGGGGUAAUGGCUUACCAAGGUGACAAUCAGUAGUUGGUCUGAGAGGAUGAUCAGCCACAUUGGGACUGAGACACGGCCCAGACUCCUACGGGAGGCAGCAGUGGGGAAUCUUAGACAAUGGGCGCAAGCCUGAGCUAGCCAUGCCACGUGAGCGAUGAAGGCCUUAGGGUUGUAAAGCUCUUUCAGGGGGGAAGAUAAUGACUGUACCCCCAGAAGAAGCCCCGGCUAACUCCGUACCAGCAGCCGCGGUAAU
This 397-nucleotide ribosomal RNA is filed under the name uncultured bacterium. RNAcentral's name for it is "bacterial SSU rRNA". It matches the Rfam family "Bacterial small subunit ribosomal RNA", at positions 96 to 524 of the family's 1533-position model. The record is from RNAcentral.